Molecule: long non-coding RNA, 1518 nt
Organism: Gasterosteus aculeatus aculeatus (three-spined stickleback)
Lineage: Eukaryota; Metazoa; Chordata; Actinopteri; Perciformes; Gasterosteidae
Source: Ensembl
CCAACAUCCACCAGAGUAUGUGGGUCGGCCUGAGCACUUUUCCAUUGAUCCACAUCGAUUAUGAACAUCGGCACCUUCCUUAGACGACCUGGUGACCCGGGGCUCCCCCAGGAGCACCAUGUCCAUACCGAACUUAGUGCGGACACCAGAUCGGCAUAGCGCGCUGCAGCCCAGAGCUCCUGAGCUCAAGCGAUCCACCAGCCUCAGCCUCCCGGUAACUUGGAUCACAGGCGAGCGCCACUGCACCCGGCCACACAGACACACUAACAAUUACAUGUACACACAGACACACUAACAAUUAGAUGUACAAACGAACACAUCCUGAUGAUCCUCCUCACGUCUCUUCUCCUUGUCUGCAGACCAACAGGACGCCAUCAGGACGCCACGUCAUCGGGACGCCAUCAGGACGCCACGUCAUCGGGACGCCAUCAGGACACUACGUCAUCGGGACGCCAUCAGGAUUCCAUCAGGACGCCAUCAGGACGCUGCGUCAACCCCUCAGGAGCAAAUCCAGAUCUACUCAUGACACACACACACACCCACACACACACACACACACACACACACAGAUGUACUCAAAGACACACUAACAUUUAGACACGCUGGCAAAUUUAGAUGUACAAUUAGAUGUACACACAGACACACUAACAUUUGGUUCUAAACAAAGACACACACUAAUAUUUAGAUGUACACAAAGACACAUUAAUAUUUAGAUGUACACACAGACACACUAACAAUUAGAUGUACACACAGACACACUAACAUUUGGUUCUAAACAAAGACACACACUAAUAGUUAGAUGUACACAAAGACACAAUAACAAUUAGAUAUACACACAGACACACUAUCAUUUGGUUCUAAACAAAGACACACACUAAUAUUUAGAUGUACACAAAGACACAAUAGCAAUUAGAUGUACACACAGACACACUAUCAUUUGGUUCUAAACUAAGACACACUAAUAUGUAGAUGUGCACAAAGACAUAUUAAUAUUUAGAUGUACACACAGGCACACUAUCAUUUUGUUCUAAACAAAGACACACACUAAUAUUUAGAUGUACACAAAGACACAAUAACAAUUAGAUGUACACACAAACACACUAACAAUUAGAUCUACACACAGACACACUAACAAUUAGAUCUACACACAGACACACUAUCAUUUGGUUCAAAACAAAGACACGCACUAAUAUUUAGAUUUACACAAAGACACAUUAAUAUUUAGAUGUACACACAGACACACAAACAAUUAGAUGUACACACAGACACACACUAACAUUUAGAUGUACACAAAGACACACACUAAUAUUUAGAUGUACACAAAGACAUAUUAAUAUUUAGAUGUACACACAGACACACUAACAUUUAGAUGUACACACAGACACACUAACAAUUAGAUGUACACACAGACACACUAACAACAUUAACAUGUUAAUAACUUUUCUCCUUUUCUCUCUUCUCAGGAACUGCUUCAGAUGUUUUCCCAAUGAUUGUGUUAUUAUUAUUGUUAAAUAUGUC